AGUGAACGCUGGCGGUAGGCCUAACACAUGCAAGUCGAACGGCAGCACAGUAAGAGCUUGCUCUUACGGGUGGCGAGUGGCGGACGGGUGAGGAAUACAUCGGAAUCUACAUUUUCGUGGGGGAUAACGUAGGGAAACUUACGCUAAUACCGCAUACGACCUACGGGUGAAAGUAGGGGAUCUUCGGACCUUGCGCGAUUGAAUGAGCCGAUGUCGGAUUAGCUCGUUGGCGGGGUAAAGGCCCACCAAGGCGACGAUCCGUAGCUGGUCUGAGAGGAUGAUCAGCCACACUGGAACUGAGACACGGUCCAGACUCCUACGGGAGGCAGCAGUGGGGAAUAUUGGACAAUGGGCGCAAGCCUGAUCCAGCCAUACCGCGUGGGUGAAGAAGGCCUUCGGGUUGUAAAGCCCUUUUGUUGGGAAAGAAAAGCAGCAGGUUAAUACCCCGCUGUUCUGACGGUACCCAAAGAAUAAGCACCGGCUAACUUCGUG
Molecule: ribosomal RNA, 492 nt
Filed under: uncultured bacterium
Lineage: Bacteria
Description: partial 16S ribosomal RNA
Rfam family: Bacterial small subunit ribosomal RNA
Source: RNAcentral